This is a long non-coding RNA of Passer domesticus (house sparrow), 495 nucleotides long. RefSeq lists it as uncharacterized. NCBI's taxonomy places the organism in Eukaryota, Metazoa, Chordata, Aves, Passeriformes, Passeridae. The transcript is spliced from 4 exons. The record is from RefSeq and is a predicted model, not a curated record.
UUUAGAAGCUUCAGAGACGAGGUCUUCAAGUAGAAUCUGGAUCAACCGACCUGAUCAGGGGAGGUUCUGAAAGUAUAAAGAGAACCUUCCCAGGCUGCUGUCCUGCAUCAAUACAAUCACUAGUUCCACCUUGGAUUUAGAAGACUCCUCUGGAAGGACUAAAUCUUCAAAGUAAUAAUAUUAUUUGUAAAACACCUCCCUUGGCAAAUUUUGCUGGACCAUGAAAAUACUGCAAUAAAAAUGUCAUUUGGAAUGUUAUGUAAAAUCAUUCAAGAGAAGAACAAAUAAAGGAGCCUGGGAUGGAGAAAAUUAGCUUGGAUACCAGUGAAACACACUGAAUCAAGAGGGAUCCACAUAGGAAACAUCUGUGGAGGGAAAGGUUUCUUGAUCUUUCUUUUCUUUCACUGCCACUUGAAAAACACCCACAACAACAACAACAGCAACAGGAGCAUUUUAACAGUCAAAACAUGGGGUGACACUUGGGAAAUAAAAUAG